This 775-nucleotide long non-coding RNA is filed under the name Nicotiana benthamiana. RNAcentral's name for it is "long non-coding RNA (NBEN_LNC012504)". Lineage: Eukaryota; Viridiplantae; Streptophyta; Magnoliopsida; Solanales; Solanaceae. The record is from RNAcentral.
AGGAAGUAGACCUUACUGAAAUCUUUUCAAUUAGCAGCAAUGUAUGAAUAUGCAUAUGAACACGACACGGGCAGAAUUUAACUCAUCUCCAUUGAAAUAAGAAAGAAUAAAAACUUCAAAAUUCAAACGACCACUACAACAAAAUUUCCAUAUCAAAACAAAGUUUAACAAAACUCAGCAACAAAGAUCCGUCGUUGAGAUGCUUAAGCUCCAAAACGUUGGUUGACAUUGUCGAAGAAAAAACUGAAGGGUCAUUAGUUUCAUCUUAUCGAAGAAGAAGAAACAACCAUGGAUAGUUCUAUCAUUUUGGCUGAGGAAGAAGCUCAGAAGAUCUGGGUGGUCGCUGGAAUGGAGUUGCUGCUCUAAGGGUUGAAGGGUUCAGGAGUGUGCUUUGUUGUAGUUUAGUUUCUGCUGCGAAGCCGGCGGCGGAAAUGGUUUAAUAUCCGGUGAGUUUGGUUUUAGGGGUGUGUCACGGCUGGAAAGGGUGGUCAUUUGGUUGGUGAAUGGCGAGGUUCAGUGGUUAGUGGCGUGGAGGCUGACAGGUUUUAGGCGAGUUGUGGGCGUGGAGGAGGCAGCGGAGGCGGUGGGCUAGGGUUCCUAGGUUUGUGUUUGGUUGUCAUUUUGUGUGAGAAGAUGAAACGCGAUGUUGGUUUUGGGUUGAGGGGUGGCUGGUUAUGGCUAAUGGUUGACUGAUUUUGUUGUAUUCAUAGUUGAAGAUGGCUUAUGGCUUUAGUCUUGAAGAUGGAAGAUGGAGGCUAGGGUUCCAAGGGUAAGG